AUUGGAUCUCUCAGAGUGUGUCUCCAGCAAUGUGUCAGGAUCCAAAACUGGGCUGCAGGCUGGAUGGAAACUCAGUUGCAGAAAAGAGGUGGCUGACACCCGCCAUGAGAGAGGCAACCGAGGGUUUGGUGUUGUGCUGUACACCAAACACAACUUGUCUCGUGUGUGAUAGUCAGGCUGCCCUGCCCGUGGGAGGAGAUUUAGAGAGCACCGCUGCUUUUAGAAAAGCUGCCAGCAGAGAUGUGUUGCCUGGUUUUCUAGAGGGGAAGCACACAGCUGUUGUAACAUCCCAUGCCCUUUCCAACCUGCAGAUGUGCAAUGAGAAAUCAGAAUAUUAAUUUGAGUCCUCUGUUACUGCCACUGACUUCUGCUCUUUUAAAAAGGACUUGACCAUAUGGAAUUUCUGAAUGAACUGCUGCAAACUCCUUUUUAAUGAACUUUGCAUAACAAAGUGCUAGGAACACAUUUCCUAUAGAUAUAUGGC
Molecule: long non-coding RNA, 484 nt
Organism: Poecile atricapillus (Black-capped chickadee)
Lineage: Eukaryota; Metazoa; Chordata; Aves; Passeriformes; Paridae
Exons: 3
Source: RefSeq, a predicted model, not a curated record